CGGCGGACGGGUGAGUAACACGUGGGUAACCUACCUAUAAGACUGGGACAACUUCGGGAAACCGGAGCUAAUACCGGAUAAGAUAUCGAACCGCAUGGUUCGAUAGUGAAAGAUGGUUUUGCUAUCACUUAUAGAUGGACCAGCGCCGUAUUAGCUAGUUGGUGAGGUAACGGCUCACCAAGGCAACGAUACGUAGCCGACCUGAGAGGGUGAUCGGCCACACUGGAACUGAGACACGGUCCAGACUCCUACGGGAGGCAGCAGCC
Molecule: ribosomal RNA, 266 nt
Filed under: uncultured Staphylococcus sp.
Lineage: Bacteria; Bacillati; Bacillota; Bacilli; Caryophanales; Staphylococcaceae
Description: partial 16S ribosomal RNA
Rfam family: Bacterial small subunit ribosomal RNA
Source: RNAcentral